UGUAGCGGUAGGACGGAAGGGGGACACCUUCGGGUGUGCUGGGUUCUCGAAGCCAGUCUGCUAACCCUCUUUCGUUCUGCCACCAUA
RNAcentral lists this non-coding RNA (87 nucleotides) under Acinetobacter baumannii. The record is from RNAcentral. Lineage: Bacteria; Pseudomonadati; Pseudomonadota; Gammaproteobacteria; Moraxellales; Moraxellaceae.